RNAcentral lists this ribosomal RNA (199 nucleotides) under uncultured bacterium. RNAcentral describes it as "partial 16S ribosomal RNA". It matches the Rfam family "Bacterial small subunit ribosomal RNA", at positions 1302 to 1500 of the family's 1533-position model. The record is from RNAcentral.
AGUCUGCAACUCGACUGCAUGAAGUCGGAAUCGCUAGUAAUCGCGGAUCAGCAUGCCGCGGUGAAUACGUUCCCGGGCCUUGUACACACCGCCCGUCACACCAUGAGAGUCGGGAACACCCGAAGUCCGUAGCCUAACCGCAAGGGGGGCGCGGCCGAAGGUGGGUUCGAUAAUUGGGGUGAAGUCGUAACAAGGUACC